RNAcentral lists this transfer RNA (85 nucleotides) under Candidatus Atribacter allofermentans. Its description in RNAcentral is "Candidatus Atribacteria bacterium ADurb.Bin276 tRNA-Tyr". It matches the Rfam family "tRNA". Rfam says of the family: Transfer RNA (tRNA) molecules are approximately 80 nucleotides in length. Their secondary structure includes four short double-helical elements and three loops (D, anti-codon, and T loops). Lineage: Bacteria; Pseudomonadati; Atribacterota; Atribacteria; Atribacterales; Atribacteraceae. The record is from RNAcentral.
CCGGAGGUAUCCAAGAGGUUAAAGGGGGUAGACUGUAAAUCUAUCGGCGUUAGCCUUCGGGGGUUCGAUUCCCACCCCUCCGGAC